Artibeus jamaicensis (Jamaican fruit-eating bat) is the source of this 1410-nucleotide long non-coding RNA. RefSeq lists it as uncharacterized. The record is from RefSeq and is a predicted model, not a curated record. Lineage: Eukaryota; Metazoa; Chordata; Mammalia; Chiroptera; Phyllostomidae. The transcript is spliced from 2 exons.
CAGAAGGGGAGGACCACGCCCAGAGGCACGUGCAAAGCAGGAGCCUGAACGCGGAAGGAAAGGGAAAGAGAAGCCCGAAUUGGUGCACCUGGGCCUCCACGGUGGCAGUUGUCUCCACAGCCCUUCCGCUGAGCUUGUCGCAUGAAUUUUACUUUCGUAACUGACAAACCAGUGCCCUGCCCUGUCCUUUGGAAAUAGAAAGAGUCAGUCACAACGUGGCAAAAGCAGACCAUGAGGAAUAUGGACUAGGGAGCAAAAGUGAAAAUAAACAAGUGGGACCACAUCAAACUGAAAUGCUUUCCUACAGCAAUGGAAACCAUCAGCAAAAUGAAGAGGCAACCUAUGUCAUGGAAGAAAAUUUUGGCAAACCAUAUAUCUCAUAAGGGGUCACUAUUUAUAUAUAAGGGACUCCUACACCUCAACAGAAAAGAUCCAAACACCUGAUGAAAAAAUGGGCAGAGAAACUGAAAUAGAUGCUUUUUCCAAAGACACACAAAUGGCCCACAGGUACAUGAAAAGAUGCUCAAUAUCACUAAUCAUCAGGGAAAUGAAAAUCAUAACCACCCUAGAAUAUUACCUUGUACUUGUGAGGAUGGCUAUUAUAAAAAAUGUAAGAAAUAACAAUGUCGGUGAGGAUGUGGAGAAAGGGAGCUCUGUGCACGCUUGUCGCCAUGGACAGCGGUGCAGCCACUAUGGAAAACAGCAUGGAGAUGCCUCAAAAAAUCAGAAAUAGGACUACGUACAAUCCAGCAAUCCUACUUCUGGAUGUUGGUCUGAAGGGAGCAAAAACCACCUCUCAGAAGGGUCGCUGUCGUUACUGCAGCAUUAUUUACAAUAGAAACGUUCUAAGUGUCCACUGACAGAUGAAUGGAUGAAGAUUAUGUGAUAUAUAUAAUGCAAUAUUACUCAGCCAUAAAAAGAAGAAAAUCUGACUUUUGUGACAACAUGGAUGAAACUUACUGGCGCAGUGCUAAGUGAAGUAAGCCAGAUAGAAAAAAACAAAUACUGUGUAAUGCCUCUUGUGAGUGGAAUCUCUUAAAGGUGAACUGAUACAUACAGAGCAUGUGCUGGUGGCCGCCCGAGGUGUGGGGUGGUGGACCAGGGAAAUGGGCGAAGGUGGUCAAAAGGCACAAACUUCCAAUCAUCAGAUAAACAGAUUCUGACAAUGUAAGGUACAGCAGUGACUACAGUUAACGAUCCUGUGUUGUAUAUUUGAAAGUUACUGGGAGAGUAGAUCUGUGUGUGGUGAUGGAGAUUAACUUAGACUUAUUGUGGUGAUCGUUUUGUGAUAUAUACAUAUAUCAACUCAUUAUGCCGUACACCUAAAAGGAACGCAAUGUUAUGUGUCUGUUAUAGAUCACUAGAAUUGCAUUUUGAGAAAAAGAAUAAAAACCCAUAUUCAUGCAGAGA